AACGCAUAUUGCGCCCGAGGCCUCUGGCCAAGGGCAUGUCUGCCUCAGCGUCGGGUUAAUACUCGCCCCCUCUUCUCAUUUAUGAGUAGAACGGGCGGAUCUGGCCGUUCCAGUGAUCAUUUGAGAGUUGGAUCAGCCGAAGAACAGAGGCUAACCAAGGACCCGUCAAGGGCCGCAACUGGGUGGGCAGCUCACGCUUGCUAUAUCAUCUUGGUUGUUGGUCUGGGACUUUGUUGUUCGGCCCAAAACAGGAAAACCCACAUUCAUUAUCUCGACCUGAGCUCAGGCAAGAACACCCGCUGAACUUAA
Molecule: unclassified non-coding RNA, 309 nt
Filed under: Archaeorhizomyces sp.
Lineage: Eukaryota; Fungi; Ascomycota; Archaeorhizomycetes; Archaeorhizomycetales; Archaeorhizomycetaceae
Description: partial contains 5.8S ribosomal RNA, internal transcribed spacer 2, and large subunit ribosomal RNA
Source: RNAcentral